This 453-nucleotide ribosomal RNA is filed under the name Triticum aestivum (bread wheat). RNAcentral describes it as "partial small subunit ribosomal RNA". The record is from RNAcentral. Lineage: Eukaryota; Viridiplantae; Streptophyta; Magnoliopsida; Poales; Poaceae.
UACGGGCUGGAAUUUCAUGACUUAGCUCCGGAGUCCAUCCUCCACAUUUCCUCAUUCAUCGUUGUGUGCGAAGCAUUCCUCCGCGUUACCCCUCACUUCGGAUUGUGGCUCAAGACUUUUGGAGUGGAGCCGAAGAUGAUCGAGGGAUGGCACACAGAGUGCGGAGGUGCUGUCAUAAGUAAGAAUGCUGAUGCUCCAUGGCCCGAGGGCUCCUUCCAAGAGGAGCUCGGCUUGUGGCAACGAGAAUGGUUCUAUAUCACCGCUCCCAGGAGCGCCAAGUGGGCGGAGCCUCCUGCCUUUCGCUCAGGUCCCCCAUCACGGCUAGCGUCAUGGGUCAACAAAGGAUUAGAUUGGGGUCUUCCCAAAGACGUGCCCCUGCUACAGGGCCGAAUUAAGGAUCUCUUGGAAGGAGACCUCAGUUUGGUUAAGGUGACGCGGGUCAUGCUGAUUCGC